Molecule: unclassified non-coding RNA, 67 nt
Filed under: synthetic construct
Description: IRES RNA (67-MER) from synthetic construct (PDB 2NC1, chain A)
Rfam family: Aphthovirus internal ribosome entry site (IRES)
About the family: IRES elements allow cap and end-independent translation of mRNA in the host cell. The IRES achieves this by mediating the internal initiation of translation by recruiting a ribosomal 43S pre-initiation complex directly to the initiation codon and eliminates the requirement for eIF4F.
Source: RNAcentral
GGGGCUGAAGGAUGCCCAGAGAGAUCUGGGGCCUCGGGAGAUCGAGGUUAAAAAACGUCUAGGCCCC